RNAcentral lists this ribosomal RNA (391 nucleotides) under uncultured bacterium. RNAcentral's name for it is "bacterial SSU rRNA". It matches the Rfam family "Bacterial small subunit ribosomal RNA", at positions 362 to 758 of the family's 1533-position model. The record is from RNAcentral.
UAUUGCGCAAUGGGCGAAAGCCUGACGCAGCGACGCCGCGUGGGGGAUGAAGGUCUUCGGAUUGUAAACCCCUUUCGGGAGGGAAGAUGGAAUGGGGUAACCCAUUCGGACGGUACCUCCAGAAGCAGCCACGGCUAACUUCGUGCCAGCAGCCGCGGUAAUACGAAGGUGGCAAGCGUUAUUCGGAUUUACUGGGCGUACAGGGAGCGUAGGCGGUUCGGUAAGCCCUCUGUGAAAUCUUCAGGCUUAACCCGGAACAGUCGGAGGGGACUGCUGGGCUAGAGGACGGGAGAGGAGCGCGGAAUUCCCGGUGUAGCGGUGAAAUGCGUAGAGAUCGGGAGGAAGGCCGGGGCGAAGGCGGCGCUCUGAACGUUCUGACGCGAGGCCGAAA